Molecule: ribosomal RNA, 293 nt
Filed under: uncultured bacterium
Lineage: Bacteria
Description: partial 16S ribosomal RNA
Rfam family: Bacterial small subunit ribosomal RNA
Source: RNAcentral
GGAUUAGAUACCCUGGUAGUCCACGCCGUAAACGAUGAGUGUUAGGUGUCUGGAGUAAAUCUGGGUGCCGCAGCUAACGCAUUAAACACUCCGCCUGGGGAGUACGCACGCAAGUGUGAAACUCAAAGGAAUUGACGGGGACCCGCACAAGCAGCGGAGCAUGUGGUUUAAUUCGAAGCAACGCGAAGAACCUUACCAAGUCUUGACAUAUUUUGGAAGCACUUAGAGAUAAGUGCCUAUAUCUUCGGAUAACUGAAAUACAGGUGGUGCAUGGUUGUCGUCAGCUCGUGCCG